Long non-coding RNA from Passer domesticus (house sparrow), 286 nucleotides. RefSeq lists it as uncharacterized. NCBI's taxonomy places the organism in Eukaryota, Metazoa, Chordata, Aves, Passeriformes, Passeridae. The transcript has 3 exons. The record is from RefSeq and is a predicted model, not a curated record.
GUGUCUGCAGGGAGGAGAUUCAUACGUACAUUGGUGGUUAUUGCCAACAAGACCAGUCUGCAUGGCAGGGUUACUCCAACAGGGAAAGUCCAAGAUACAACAGAUAAGAUGUCCCUGCAACCAUCCAAACAGAUGAGGAAAGAGCUGAAGCAACCCCUGCAGACAAGAGAAGAGAUGGACAUAGAGCUUCAGUGGAAGGUGGCAAUUCCUGAAGGAAGCACUCCAUCUUCGGUGCGAGCCCCAGCUGCAGGAAGGAAGGCAAAGCCAGACACGGGCACAGGCACAG